AAACGCCCGGGAAUUACAAGCGCAAGCUUAAAACCCAAAGGAUUUGACGGUGUCCCACCCACCUAGAGGAGCCUGUUCUAUAAUCGAUAAUCCACGAUUCACCUCACCAUUUUUUGCCUCUCAGCCUGUAUACCUCCGUCGACAACCUACCCUUUGAAUGCCCUAAAGUAAGUUUAACAGGCCUCACCCGCCAAUACGUCAGGUCAAGGUGCAGCCUAUAAAAUGGAAAGCUACGGGCUACAAUUUCUAACAUAGAACAAACGAAAAACUACAUGAAACAUAGUCAUGAAGGCGGAUUUAGUAGUAAAAGAAAGAUAAUAAACUUCUUUUAACUCGGCCCUGGGACGUGUACAAACCGCCCGUCACCCUCUUUAGUAGCUUCACCCAAUUCUUUAAAAUUCUACUAGCACAACAGAAGAGGCAAGUCGUAACAUGGUAAGUGUACUGGAAAGUGCACUUGGUAAAACAAAGUGUAGCUUAACUAAAGCUCUUCGCUUACACCGAAAAAAUGUCUACUUAAUCUAGACCACUUUGAGCCCUAAAUCUAGCUUACCUAAUUUGUAUACAGCCCCCACGCUAACCCAACACAAUAAAACAUUUUAAUUGUUUAGUAAAGGAGAU
RNAcentral lists this ribosomal RNA (621 nucleotides) under Gephyromantis sp. 17 MV-2009. RNAcentral's name for it is "partial 12S ribosomal RNA". The stretch from base 1 to 473 matches the Rfam family "Bacterial small subunit ribosomal RNA", at positions 867 to 1533 of the family's 1533-position model. The record is from RNAcentral. Lineage: Eukaryota; Metazoa; Chordata; Amphibia; Anura; Mantellidae.